GCGCCUGGAAGCAUAGGGUUUAGAGGCAGCGGAAAGUGAUUUGAGGGAGUGCAGGCUCCGCUUUUGUCUGGGGCUCCCACGGAUUCUAAAGUGUCACACACUCCGGUUAUUAUGGAUUUGUGAAAGUGUUACUGUUCUUCUUAGUCCUGUGUGGUGGCCGCCUCUUCUUCCCGUGCUCUGUAAAAGAUAGAGAAUGAACACUUCUAAGGGGCUACCAUGCAGUGAAAAAGAUCACUGGAUUGGAAAUCAAGAGUUGGAUGCUAAUUCCUCUCUACCACUGAAUUACUUUGUGACACAGGGAGAAAAAAAAAGCAGGAAAAGGAGAUAAUGAAGAAACAGCCAUUGUUCAGCCAUUUUUCUAUCAGCUUUACCUGAAAGGAGAACAGCUUUGAUGUCAUUCAUCACAAGGUUUUUUUGAAGACCGUUCUUAAUCAGGACACUGAGGUCAGGCCCCCAGAGAGUAGAGGUAAGGUCAAGAUUGCCCAUGAUAACACCACAUCGUUACCAUCCACUUCCAUUCCAAGGAAUGAAGUUAUGGAAUGGAUCAUGCCGCCAAGUAAAGAACUAUGACCAGCUGAGUGCAAAAGCAGCAGAAUGGGUAAUGGAAUAAAGUAAUUAUAAAUACUAGCUGUGGCCACAUGAUCACUGUAGAAAAAAGAUUAUAAUCAUUAUGAGUAUUCCAUCCUCAUUUUGUUAUGAAUAUUUCCAUGUAUCUUGACCAAAUAUUUUCGUUUUUUUUUUCUGUCUGUUAUCCCUUUGUCAUCUAACAGAAAGUGUAUUAAUAAUAGUUAACUUUUUCUCACAAUAUUUAAGCUGUAGGAAAUCAAAGGAAGAGAAUGAACAUUCCCAAGAAGUUUCCACCUCUUUUAAGAAAAAGUAUAGUUUUGUUUUUGGUUGUUCCCAAGAUAUUGUUUCAUGUUCAGCAGAAAUAUGGUUUUGUUACUAUAUUUACUUGGAUGUUAAACAAGAUUUAAGGAGAUAUGAUCCUAGGAUAUGGGCACCUUCACAUCAAGGGGUAGACUGUGAUAGUCUCUUUCAUGUGUCCACUUUUUCAUAGUCCCUCAUUAUUAGUCCAAUGGUUAUCUAGGUAUUGCAGUGAAGGUAUUUUGUAGAUGUGCUUUAAAGCCCAUAAUCAGUUUAAAGUGGACAUUCUGGAAGAAUUAGGUAAAGCUGCAAACUGAGUAUGUUCUGUAAAUGGCAAAAUGACAUGGGAUAUCAGGAGUGCAAUGUAAAGGCAGUGCUGAAAGUUGAGCUGAAGUGCUCAAGUGACUCCAUUCAGCCCCAAUUUAGUAGUUCAUGAGUAGGAUGUAAUGCUCACUUGAAGAAGGGAAGUAGAGAAUGGCUAAUGUAUGCUAUGGGGUAUGAUUGGCAAGAAGAACAACUUGGCUGAGGUCAGAGAAAGAAGACUGACAUGGAUAAAUCAGCAGGAGAGAUUUGAGACAUGAGAUAGUAGAUGCAUGGAACUAAACAAAUAUCCACUUCUCAUUGAUUUUGAUGUACUGAAGAAUAACAGAAGGCAAAGUGCUUGAUGGAUUAAAAAACUGUAUAGGGUGUAGUAACUGCAAUAUGGAAAUUAAAGAAAAUAGUAUUAAAUACUGUCCAUUGAACUAACCAGUAUUUAUAAGAAUAUUUGUGAACUAUAGUCACCCAUAAAGAACCUGUACCUUAGGAUUUUAUUGCUGAAAAGGAAAGAACUAAUCUCAUUUUUGUUACCUUUAAAAUGAGGGAACAGAGACCCAGAGCGGGUGUCAGCAUCACAGCGCUAGUUCAAAGUGACAGAACUAAUAGAAUUCAUCUUUUCUGUUCAUUUCAGUGCCAAGCUAAAUUCCCACAUUCCUAGUUUGAGAAGUAUUAUGGUGUAGUGAUUAACAGCACUGGAUCUCAAAUCAGACAACCUGGCUUCAAUCCUGUAUCUGAUAGUUAUAAGUUGUGUGACCUUAGUCAAUUGGUACCUUGGCUUAAUCAUCUCUAAAAUGAGAAUGAUGACAACUGUGUCAGUCUCAUAGGAAUGUUGUAACAUAUAAAUGAGUUGUUCAUGUAAAGUAUUUAGACUAGUGCCAGAAACACAGUAAGUGCUGGGUAGAUGCUAGCUGUUAUUGUUAGGUGAACUAUACUAUGAAAUUAGUAUAGAUAGAUUUUAGACUUUUAGGUUGCACUUAAAGAUAUGGAGCAGCUAGUGAUAAAUGUAAAUACAGUCCUAAUCUCUACAUAGCUAAUAUAAGGAUUGAAAAAUGGGAAGAUGAAGGAAAGGCCACAAGGUCUUUCUUCACUGUAUUGAAUUAAAGAUUGUGGUAGGGCCUUCAUUUAAAAAGUCAAAGAUAAGUGAUUUUUAAAAAAUGAUUACUGGGAUGAUACAUUUAAAAAAGAAAACUACUAAAUGAAAGGAUUUGAGCAGCAGAAGUUGAAGUUGAAGUUGAAUUCACUUCUGAGUCUUCAACGACACAUGGGUUGAGGAAGAAUACAGACUUCAUCCUAAGAGCUCUUUCUGUGAUGGGAAUGGUUAUGAGGGGACUCCCAAGCAGAAACUCUGGCUAACUGGUCAGGAAUGGGAGAGGAAAAACAUCUCUAUCUCUUUGGAUGGCUUGAGGGAUACUUAAUAACCCUGUGAGCAGCUGAUAGUGGGAAAGAAUCACAGCAGGCGAACAGUUUCAGCCUCACUAUGUAGAAAGAAGCAGGGACUGGGAGCCAUAGCAGAAUAUUCAACUACUCAAAUGAAGAGUCAUUAGACUUAAAUAGACCAAUAGGGCCAAUGGAACCCAGAUGAAACAUCUCGGCGGCAUAACAGACUUCUGGAGAGCAACUACAAUUUAAAUGUAUUUAAAAUGCUAAGCUCUGUGACGGAAUCUUUCUCUGGAUACAGUUCCAUGAAAAUGGCUUUUUGAAUGGGUGGAGCAAUUGGCUAACCUUAACCAAACAAGACUCCAUAGUGAAUCACAAAAUGCAGUUAAGGAAUUAACUGUUUGUUGUGCUGGGCACUAAGAAUUUUUGUAUCUGGCUACAUAACAUAUUUCCUUUCCACAGGAGGUAGUUAUGACAAAUUAGAAGUCUGAAAAUUUUCUGAUGGUGUAAAGGCCCAGCUGUCACUGGGGAGAUAGUGAUCAGAUUUCAUAGCUGCGUGGUCCCAUGGCGCCAUGGAGAGCUCCAUAUGGUCACCCAAAUGUUUCAGCUAAAUCCACUGAAAAUUUCCAGUCUGAGUUUUACUUGGAAAGAAUAAAACUCUCCUUGUAUAAAUUUAUCAUUAUGUGCCUACCAAGAGAAAAAAUCUUGUUAACUGGUUACAUUUUAAAAAAUGGAAAAAAUAAUCCACUUAAGAACAACUUUGUACAGCUGUUGUGCUGUCUUCAUGAUAAACAGAUAACGAUGCACUCCUGGGAAUUUACAGAAUUUACUUUAUAUCAAUUGUCAUAUAACCUCAGGAAGGUGGACUUUUAAAAUGAUGUAUGGUGAACAGCUAACAUCCAUGGGAAUAUCUACUUCUGUGAUAAAAAAAACAACUUUAUAAACUCCGGUUCUCUCAUUACCCCAGAAAAUCAUCUCCACUAAAUUGUUAAUAUAAUUACUAAGUGCUGGGACACUUGUAUGCAUGUCAAAGAUGUCAGCUUAAGUCUUACCCAAUAACAAAUGACAAAUGCAUACUUUAUUGAUUCAUAAAUGGCUAUGUCCUUGGAUCUAUUCCAUACAAGUGCUUAGAAACACAUCUGGCUCAUGAAGGUAACAACUAUUUUAAAGAAGGUCAGCUGUAUAUUUUAAAGUUAAAAAGGAAGGAUAUAGUAGUCUUACUUGUUACAUUUCUUUCCUGAAUCAAGAAAGGUUAUAGGUUUUAUAAUUCCAUUUGGGGUUUUAUGAUAUAAAUAAUAUAGCAAAUAUAGUUAACUGAAAUUUUUGAAUAUUAGAAAUAUAAGCAAUGAGCCAAGUGUUACUUCAUAAAAAAGUUUCGUUUUUACUAAAAACAUCUGAUGUACUAAUUUUAAUGUUACAUAUCAGAUGCUACUAACUGAAUAUUCUUUUUUUAUGCAACAUAAAUGAAAGUAUGUGGCAUUUAUUACUGAAAAUAUCAAACUGAAAUAUGAAUGAAGGUACUUCAAAUAUUUAAUAUUUUUAAUUAAAAUUAUUUUGCCAUUAAUUCUUAAUCAUAUAUAGCCUGCUUAGCUAUUAGCAUUCCAUGUGGUUGUUCUAAGCACAUGCAAACACUUAAAAUAUUACACUUAAUUAAUUAUGUCAUCCUCUAUUUUCUCUGGUAGAAGCAAAAUAAGCUUUUUCUGAAAUACAUUUCAAAUUUUAUUCUGCUGAUGUACAAAGAAAUGCAUGGUAGAGAAAAUACAUUUCCAAAACAUUUCAGUAAACAUCCAGGCACUUCUAACUUUACAUUUCACCUUGCAGCACACACAAAAUGUUUAAUUAUUUGAGGAUUAAUGGAGGUAGUUUAUAAUUAAGCUGAAGUAUGAACUGAUGUCAUCAUCUCAGUAUGAUGAUAUACAUUUUUAUGCCAAAGCACCUGUUGUUUUGGAAGGAAGCAGCUGAUAUCAUUAUCUGCGCAGCCAGAUAGCCCUGUUUCCUGCUGCUUAAAAAAUUAUCCUAAGGGUUACCUAAGUUGGAGUAAUUCAGAAUUCACGUUUUCAUACCCAGAAGAGGGGAGAAUGGAGAAAAUGACUUCUCCAGCAAAGGAAGGGAAAGAGAAAUACACUGAGAAAAGGGAAGAAGGAGGAAAGGAAGCGCUUUAGUGUAGGUGAACAAAGGUUACAGCUAUUCAUGCCAGGAGGGAUGGUCUUCUUAUUUCUUCUAAGGGCACAUAGAGUUUGCAAGAGAACAAAACAAUGGAAGCAUCUGUUUUAUUAAUGUGAGUGAAAUGAUGCAUUGUUAGAGGAAGUGGAGGGGAAAAAUAUGCAAUUUUAUAUUUUAACACACAAAAUAUAUCACCGUUUCUAAAUACUCAUUAAAAUGUUAGUAUUUCCAAAUUACAGUGAUCUACAGCAAGAUUCAAAGAAUCCAAAUGUUUAUUUUCUCAUGUCUAUUAGAUAACCCUGCCCCUGAAUGGUUUUUCAGUUUGUUAGUUGGCAGGUUGGAUUUUGCUAUGCAUUGCUUAGGGCUGAGCCUAUUGAUUUAAGUAAAAUCCUAUAGAACAUAAACACAAUGGCUAUACAAGUGUAUCAAUCAACAUAUUCAUUUCUUAAUUUUUAAUUUUUAUUAAAGUAUAAUUGAUUAAGGAGUUCCCGUCGUGGUGCAGUGGUUAACAAAUCUGACUAGGAACCAUGGGGUUGCGGGUUCGAUCCCUGCCCUUGCUCAGUGGGUUAAGGAUCUGGUGUUGCCAUGGGCUGUGGUGUAGGUUGCAGACGUGGCUCGGAUCCCACGUUGCUGUGGCUCUGGUGUAGGCUGGUGGUUAUAGCUCUGUUAGACCCCUGGCCUGGGAACCUCCAUAUGCUGCAAGAGCGGCCCAAGAAAUAGCAAAAAGACAAAAAAAAAAAAAAAA
Molecule: long non-coding RNA, 5467 nt
Filed under: Sus scrofa (pig)
Lineage: Eukaryota; Metazoa; Chordata; Mammalia; Artiodactyla; Suidae
Description: lncRNA (ENSSSCG00030010574.1)
Source: RNAcentral